Long non-coding RNA from Anneissia japonica, 419 nucleotides. RefSeq lists it as uncharacterized. The record is from RefSeq and is a predicted model, not a curated record. NCBI's taxonomy places the organism in Eukaryota, Metazoa, Echinodermata, Crinoidea, Comatulida, Comatulidae. The transcript is spliced from 3 exons.
UUGAAACUUCCUGGUUCUCUGAUUGACUGGUGAAGUGUUAAAAAAAAGUUGACACUUCUCACUGUUUUAGUUUUAGUUCGUGGAGUCAGACUUGCUCUCUGUACCUGUUUUGUAUUUCCAUUUCUUUGUCUCCGUUAUUUUCAUCUUUUACUUUGCUGAAAAUGGCCACUAACCUCCAAGUAUGUGGAAUUGAUCCGGAGCUACUAAAGGCUGUAAAGAGUCUACGUAUGAAACGCACAACCAACAACGAAUGUUUGGUUUUGAAAAUAGAUACAGAACGAAAAAUUGUAAUUGUAGAUGAAGAGUUGAAAGUAAGCCAUUUUACUUGAAAAUUGUCUCAAAUGCUAGCUUAUUAUCUAUAUUGAUAGGAUUUAAUUUAAAAAUAUUAAACAAAGAACGCUAAAUAUUAGUUUGUAUUU